GAACACAUUGGUAUUGAAGGAACUAGAUACUGUUCCGAAAUAUCACUUACUCGAACCGUCCUGACCGCGUAGCUCAGUUGGAAGAGCAUUGGGCUAGUAUUCCAAAGGUCGUAGGUUCGAAUCCCACCGUGGCCGGGCAUAUUUUUCAAGCUCGCCCGGUGUGGAUAUGCACUCAGAGUAACAUCGCAAACAUAUUAUUUACCUGAGUACACAACACCAACACAGAAAAAAAA
Molecule: non-coding RNA, 233 nt
Organism: Paramuricea clavata
Lineage: Eukaryota; Metazoa; Cnidaria; Anthozoa; Malacalcyonacea; Plexauridae
Source: the annotation of a GenBank genome assembly